This 477-nucleotide ribosomal RNA is filed under the name uncultured Planctomycetales bacterium. Its description in RNAcentral is "bacterial SSU rRNA". It matches the Rfam family "Bacterial small subunit ribosomal RNA", at positions 365 to 832 of the family's 1533-position model. The record is from RNAcentral. Lineage: Bacteria; Pseudomonadati; Planctomycetota; Planctomycetia; Planctomycetales.
UUCGCAAUGCCCGAAAGGGUGACGAAGCGACGCCGCGUGGGUGAGGAAGGCCUUCGGGUUGUAAAGCCCUGUCAGGAGUUAAGAAAUGUAGACUCGCUAAUAUCGGGUCUAUUUGACAAAGGCUCCAAAGGAAGCCACGGCUAACUCUGCGCCAGCAGCCGCGGUAAUACAGAGGUGGCAAGCGUUGUUCGGAAUUGUUGGGCGUAAAGAGCACGUAGGUGGAUUUGUAAGUCGGACGUGAGAGCCUUCUGUUCAACGGAAGAAUUGCAUCUGAAACUACAAACCUUGAGUGUAGGAGGGGAGAAUGGAACUUCUGGUGGAGCGGUGAAGUGCGUAGAUAUCAGAAGGAACGCCGGCGGCGAAAGCGACUCUCUGGCCUAUUACUGACACUCAGUGUGCGAAAGCUAGGGGAGCAAACGGGAUUAGAUACCCCGGUAGUCCUAGCCGUAAACGAUGGGCACUAAGUAGAGGGGUUUU